This 976-nucleotide ribosomal RNA is filed under the name Klebsiella pneumoniae. RNAcentral's name for it is "bacterial SSU rRNA". It matches the Rfam family "Bacterial small subunit ribosomal RNA", at positions 556 to 1532 of the family's 1533-position model. The record is from RNAcentral. Lineage: Bacteria; Pseudomonadati; Pseudomonadota; Gammaproteobacteria; Enterobacterales; Enterobacteriaceae.
GGGCGUAAAGCGCACGCAGGCGGUCUGUCAAGUCGGAUGUGAAAUCCCCGGGCUCAACCUGGGAACUGCAUUCGAAACUGGCAGGCUAGAGUCUUGUAGAGGGGGGUAGAAUUCCAGGUGUAGCGGUGAAAUGCGUAGAGAUCUGGAGGAAUACCGGUGGCGAAGGCGGCCCCCUGGACAAAGACUGACGCUCAGGUGCGAAAGCGUGGGGAGCAAACAGGAUUAGAUACCCUGGUAGUCCACGCCGUAAACGAUGUCGAUUUGGAGGUUGUGCCCUUGAGGCGUGGCUUCCGGAGCUAACGCGUUAAAUCGACCGCCUGGGGAGUACGGCCGCAAGGUUAAAACUCAAAUGAAUUGACGGGGGCCCGCACAAGCGGUGGAGCAUGUGGUUUAAUUCGAUGCAACGCGAAGAACCUUACCUGGUCUUGACAUCCACAGAACUUUCCAGAGAUGGAUUGGUGCCUUCGGGAACUGUGAGACAGGUGCUGCAUGGCUGUCGUCAGCUCGUGUUGUGAAAUGUUGGGUUAAGUCCCGCAACGAGCGCAACCCUUAUCCUUUGUUGCCAGCGGUUCGGCCGGGAACUCAAAGGAGACUGCCAGUGAUAAACUGGAGGAAGGUGGGGAUGACGUCAAGUCAUCAUGGCCCUUACGACCAGGGCUACACACGUGCUACAAUGGCAUAUACAAAGAGAAGCGACCUCGCGAGAGCAAGCGGACCUCAUAAAGUAUGUCGUAGUCCGGAUUGGAGUCUGCAACUCGACUCCAUGAAGUCGGAAUCGCUAGUAAUCGUAGAUCAGAAUGCUACGGUGAAUACGUUCCCGGGCCUUGUACACACCGCCCGUCACACCAUGGGAGUGGGUUGCAAAAGAAGUAGGUAGCUUAACCUUCGGGAGGGCGCUUACCACUUUGUGAUUCAUGACUGGGGUGAAGUCGUAACAAGGUAACCGUAGGGGAACCUGCGGUUGGAUCACCUCCUU